Molecule: ribosomal RNA, 253 nt
Filed under: uncultured bacterium
Lineage: Bacteria
Description: partial 16S ribosomal RNA
Rfam family: Bacterial small subunit ribosomal RNA
Source: RNAcentral
UACGUAGGGUGCGAGCGUUGUCCGGAAUUAUUGGGCGUAAAGGGCUCGUAGGCGGUUUGUCGCGUCGGGAGUGAAAACACCGGGCUUAACUCGGUGCUUGCUUUCGAUACUGGCAGACUAGAGGCAUGCAGGGGAGAACGGAAUUCCUGGUGUAGCGGUGAAAUGCGCAGAUAUCAGGAGGAACACCGGUGGCGAAGGCGGUUCUCUGGGCAUGUCCUGACGCUGAGGAGCGAAAGUGUGGGGAGCGAACAAG